GGAUGGGUGGCCGAGCGGUUUAAGGCUCCAGUCUUGAAAACUGGCGUAGGGGUGACUCUACCGUGGGUUCGAAUCCCACCCCAUCCGCCA
Molecule: transfer RNA, 90 nt
Filed under: Falsirhodobacter flavus
Lineage: Bacteria; Pseudomonadati; Pseudomonadota; Alphaproteobacteria; Rhodobacterales; Paracoccaceae
Description: Cereibacter flavus tRNA-Ser
Rfam family: tRNA
About the family: Transfer RNA (tRNA) molecules are approximately 80 nucleotides in length.
Source: RNAcentral